AUGGCUCAGAUUGAACGCUGGCGGCAUGCCUUACACAUGCAAGUCGAACGGUAACAGGUCUUCGGAUGCUGACGAGUGGCGAACGGGUGAGUAAUACAUCGGAACGUGCCCGAUCGUGGGGGAUAACGAGGCGAAAGCUUUGCUAAUACCGCAUACGAUCUACGGAUGAAAGCGGGGGAUCUUCGGACCUCGCGCGGACGGAGCGGCCGAUGGCAGAUUAGGUAGUUGGUGGGAUAAAAGCUUACCAAGCCGACGAUCUGUAGCUGGUCUGAGAGGAUGAUCAGCCACACUGGGACUGAGACACGGCCCAGACUCCUACGGGAGGCAGCAGUGGGGAAUUUUGGACAAUGGGCGAAAGCCUGAUCCAGCCAUGCCGCGUGCAGGAUGAAGGCCUUCGGGUUGUAAACUGCUUUUGUACGGAACGAAAAGCCUCUUUCUAAUAAAGAGGGGUCAUGACGGUACCGUAAGAAUAAGCACCGGCUAACUACGUGCCAGCAGCCGC
RNAcentral lists this ribosomal RNA (502 nucleotides) under uncultured bacterium. Its description in RNAcentral is "bacterial SSU rRNA". It matches the Rfam family "Bacterial small subunit ribosomal RNA", at positions 19 to 518 of the family's 1533-position model. The record is from RNAcentral.